UGGGGAAUUUUGCGCAAUGGGCGAAAGCCUGACGCAGCAACGCCGCGUGGAGGAUGAAGGUGCUCUGCAUUGUAAACUCCUGUCGGCCGGGAAGAAUCGGCGGGGUGCUAAUCAGCCCCGUCUUGACUGUACCGGCAAAGGAAGCCCCGGCUAACUCCGUGCCAGCAGCCGCGGUAAUACGGAGGGGGCAAGCGUUACUCGGAAUUAUUGGGCGUAAAGGGCGCGUAGGCGGUUCCGUGCGUCAGAGGUGAAAUCCCCGGGCUUAACCCGGGAACUGCCUCUGAUACGGCGGGACUUGAGUCCGGGAGAGGGGAGCAGAAUUCCCAGUGUAGCGGUGAAAUGCGUAGAUAUUGGGAGGAAUACCAGUGGCGAAGGCGGCUCCCUGGACCGGUACUGACGCUGAGGCGCGAAAGCGUGGGUAGCAAACAGG
This 430-nucleotide ribosomal RNA is filed under the name uncultured bacterium. Its description in RNAcentral is "bacterial SSU rRNA". It matches the Rfam family "Bacterial small subunit ribosomal RNA", at positions 355 to 776 of the family's 1533-position model. The record is from RNAcentral.